RNAcentral lists this ribosomal RNA (400 nucleotides) under uncultured bacterium. RNAcentral describes it as "bacterial SSU rRNA". It matches the Rfam family "Bacterial small subunit ribosomal RNA", at positions 355 to 753 of the family's 1533-position model. The record is from RNAcentral.
UAGGGAAUAUUGGGCAAUGGGCGCGAGCCUGACCCAGCCAUGCCGCGUGACGGAUGAAGGCCUUCUGGGUUGUAAACGUCUUUUGACCGGGAAGAAAAAGCCCUUGCGAGGGAAAUCGACGGUACCGGUUGAAUAAGCACCGGCUAACUCCGUGCCAGCAGCCGCGGUAAUACGGAGGGUGCGAGCGUUGUCCGGAUUUAUUGGGUUUAAAGGGUGCGUAGGUGGCCCUGCAAGUCCGUGGUGAAAGCCUGCUGCUCAACAGCAGAACUGCCAUGGAUACUACAGGGCUUGAGUCCAGACGAGGUUGGCGGAAUGGAUGGUGUAGCGGUGAAAUGCAUAGAUACCAUCCAGAACCCCGAUUGCGUAGGCAGCUGACUAGGCUGGUACUGACACUGAGGCA